RNAcentral lists this ribosomal RNA (144 nucleotides) under Acinetobacter baumannii. RNAcentral describes it as "partial 23S ribosomal RNA". The stretch from base 1 to 126 matches the Rfam family "Bacterial large subunit ribosomal RNA", at positions 2805 to 2925 of the family's 2925-position model. Lineage: Bacteria; Pseudomonadati; Pseudomonadota; Gammaproteobacteria; Moraxellales; Moraxellaceae. The record is from RNAcentral.
UAAGAUUUCCCUAGGACUUUAUGUCCUCUAAAGAGCCGUUCGAGACUAGGACGUUGAUAGGUUGGAUGUGGAAGCAUAGUGAUAUGUGAAGCUGACCAAUACUAAUUGCUCGUGAGGCUUGACUAUACAACACCCAAGCAGUUG